GACAGAGGAGCCAAGCGUUGUCCGGACUGACUGGGCGUAAAGCGCACGCAGGCGGCGCUGCGCGUGGGGUGUGAAAGCUCUUGGCUUAACUGAGAGAGGCCAUCCCAUACGGCAGUGCUCGAGCGGUGCAGAGGUCCGCGGAAUUGCCGGUGUAGUGGUGAAAUGCGUAGAGAUCGGCAGGAACACCCAGGGGGAAACCAGCGGACUGGGCAUCGGCUGACGCUCAGGUGCGACAGCGUGGGGAGCGAGCCGG
This 253-nucleotide ribosomal RNA is filed under the name uncultured bacterium. RNAcentral describes it as "partial 16S ribosomal RNA". It matches the Rfam family "Bacterial small subunit ribosomal RNA", at positions 524 to 776 of the family's 1533-position model. The record is from RNAcentral.